Molecule: unclassified non-coding RNA, 297 nt
Organism: Pongo abelii (Sumatran orangutan)
Lineage: Eukaryota; Metazoa; Chordata; Mammalia; Primates; Hominidae
Rfam family: Metazoan signal recognition particle RNA
About the family: The signal recognition particle (SRP) is a universally conserved ribonucleoprotein. It is involved in the co-translational targeting of proteins to membranes.
Source: Ensembl
GCUGUGGUGGGCACAUGACUGUAGUACCAGCUACUUGGGAGGCUGAGGCAAGAGGAUUGUCUGAGUCCAGGAGUUCUGGGCUAUAAUGUGCUAUGCUGAUUGGGCGUCUGCCCUAAGUGUGGCCCCAGUAUUGUGACCUCCUAGGAGUGGGGGACCACCAGGUUGCCUAAGGAGGGGUGAACUGGCCCAGUUUGGAAAUGGAGCAGGUCAAAACUCCCGUGCUGCUCAGUAGUGGGAUUGCACUUGUGAAUAGCCACUGCACUGCAGCCUGGGCAACAUAGUGAGACCCCAUCUCUU